RNAcentral lists this ribosomal RNA (497 nucleotides) under uncultured bacterium. RNAcentral describes it as "partial 16S ribosomal RNA". It matches the Rfam family "Bacterial small subunit ribosomal RNA", at positions 28 to 507 of the family's 1533-position model. The record is from RNAcentral.
GAUGAACGCUGGCGGCGUGCCUAAUACAUGCAAGUCGAGCGAACGGACGAGAAGCUUGCUUCUCUGAUGUUAGCGGCGGACGGGUGAGUAACACGUGGAUAACCUACCUAUAAGACUGGGAUAACUUCGGGAAACCGUAGCUAAUACCGCAUAAUAUUUUGAACCGCAUGGUUCAAAAGUGAAAGACGGUCUUGCUGUCACUUAUAGAUGGAUCCGCGCUGCAUUAGCUAGUUGGUAAGGUAACGGCUUACCAAGGCAACGAUGCAUAGCCGACCUGAGAGGGUGAUCGGCCACACUGGACUGGAGACACGGUCAAGACUCCUACGGGAGGAAGAAGUAGGGAAUCUUCCGCAAUGGGCGAACGCCUGACGGAGCAACGCGGCGUGAGUGAUGAAGGUCUUCGGAUCGUAAAACUCUGUGAUUAGGGAAGAACAGAUGUGUAAGUAACUGUGCACAUCUUGACGGUACCUAAUCAGAAAGCCACGGCUAACUACGUG